GGUUUCGUGGUGUAGUUGGUUAUCACACCAGUCUAACACACUGGUGGUCCCCGGUUCGAACCCGGGCGAAAUCA
RNAcentral lists this transfer RNA (74 nucleotides) under Tuber magnatum (white Piedmont truffle). It matches the Rfam family "tRNA". Rfam says of the family: Transfer RNA (tRNA) molecules are approximately 80 nucleotides in length. Their secondary structure includes four short double-helical elements and three loops (D, anti-codon, and T loops). Lineage: Eukaryota; Fungi; Ascomycota; Pezizomycetes; Pezizales; Tuberaceae. The record is from Rfam by way of RNAcentral.